CCUACGGGUGGCUGCAGUGAGGAAUAUUGGUCAAUGGACGAGAGUCUGAACCAGCCAAGUAGCGUGAAGGAGGACUGUCCUGUGGGUUGUAAACUUCUUUUGUAAAGGAAUAAAACGAGGCACGUGUGCCUGGUUGCGUGUACUUGAUGAAUAAGGAUCGGCUAACUCCGUGCCAGCAGCCGCGGUAAUACGGAGGAUCCGAGCGUUAUCCGGAUUUAUUGGGUUUAAAGGGGGCGUAGAUGGGUUGUUAAGUCAGUUGUGAAAGUUUGCGGCUCAACCGUAAAAUUGCAAUUGAUACUGGCAGUCUUGAGUAGAGUAGAGGUAUGCGGAAUUCGUGGUGUAGCGGUGAAAUGCUUAGAUAUCACGAAGAACUCCGAUUGCGAAGGCAGCUUACUAACCUGUGACUGACAUUGAUGCUCGAAAGUGUGGGUAUCAAACAGGAUUAGAUACCCGAGUAGUC
This 460-nucleotide ribosomal RNA is filed under the name uncultured bacterium. RNAcentral's name for it is "partial 16S ribosomal RNA". It matches the Rfam family "Bacterial small subunit ribosomal RNA", at positions 338 to 795 of the family's 1533-position model. The record is from RNAcentral.